AUGUGGCUAGCACAGAGGAUCGGUUGCAACCGUUUGAUCAUUGAGUCUGAUAGCUUAACUGCGAUAGAGGCUGUGAAUCAACGGGAGGCCUUUGGACCUGAUGUUGUUGUGAUUACAGAGUGCAACCAUAUGCGACUAGAGUUUGCAUCAAUGUCAUGUGAUCAUUGCUUCAGAGAGUCUAACGAGGUGGAUGAUGCUUUAGCAAAACACUCCUUUAGUUCUAGAUGCUCUGAAGUUUGGGAAGAGUCUAUUCCUGAUUUUAUUUCUCCUUUUAUUGUAAAAGACCUAUCCAUUAUCUAA
Molecule: ribosomal RNA, 300 nt
Filed under: Triticum aestivum (bread wheat)
Lineage: Eukaryota; Viridiplantae; Streptophyta; Magnoliopsida; Poales; Poaceae
Description: partial small subunit ribosomal RNA
Source: RNAcentral